CUUUUUAAUUAUUUUUUUAAAAUUUAAAAGACAAAAAUUAUUGAUUUUGUCAAUUUUUCUGAUCCAAUCCAUUGAUUCCCCGAUUCUAUACGGAGACAAGUGGGACGGAUUCGAGUCACCCCAUCAAAUUUUUUAAACACACAGUACGAGAGGAGAUAGAGAGAAGGAAUUGGGGGAGAAAACGUGCGGGCACUUGAAAAGCCGAGUUCACACGAUAAAAUUAACAACCAAACCCCGUCUGAACCAAAAGAAUUUGAAGCGCCUUCAAAAAGCUGAGCGUUGUCCUUCACUGCGUCUAACCGUGGCCUAAAUCACUAGAAACAAGCUCGAAAAUGGCGGAAUUACAGUCGCUGGAAGGCCCAUCUAAUGGGCUUUUAUCAGGCACUCUUGUUCCAUAUCUUGGCUCUAAGAGAGUGAGAAGACCCAGUGUCAGGUUAGGUGAGAUAGGAGAGCAACGUGCUUAUGAGUCUUAUGCAAAGAAAAACAAACAGCUCAGAGUUUCAGAAGAACCUAAGUCAAGAACUUCAGAUGGGUACUUGCACCAUGGCCAUAAUGGAGCUAUUAAAGCCGUUUCCAAGCGAAAAGCCUCUGUGAAUUUAGGGAAUGGGGAUAGCCAUGAAUCUCGCGGACCUGAGGAAGAAAACCAAUCUCAUGAUUUAGGCUCUAAUGAAGGGAAUUUGGAGUUGGUAGAAUUAAAAGCAGGAGAACCCAAAGGGUCAACCACCCAUAUGUUGGAAUCGCCUGAAAACGCGACCACAAAUGUGGGGUUUUCUGACUCUUAUCAGAGGGUCUUGAAAGCCCAUGGAAAUGAGAGAGAAAGCCUUUUAAUGGGCAAAAGAAGUCAUAGAAAGUCAAGAGGAGCUCGAAUUACUGAUAGCAAUAGGGAGCCUGUCGCUUCUGUUGACUGUGUGGAGAUGGUUGGAUUGGAAUUGCCUUCUGAUGCAGAGGAUAGGUCAAAGUACAAUGGGGAUGAUGAAUUGAGAAGAGUUGAAAAAUGUGGGAGAAAAGAGAGGAAAUUCGGAGGUAUAAAAAGUAGCCAGUUUUUGGAUGAUGAGGUUUGGGGAUGGCUGAACGAAAUGGGUUUAGGCAGAUAUGCCCCAGUCUUUGAAAUGCACGAGGUUGAUUAUGCAGUCUUGCCUCUCUUGACUCUCGAUGACCUUAAAGAUAUGGGGAUAAAUGCAGUUGGCUCGCGGCGAAAAAUGUACUGUGCGAUUCAAAAGCUCAGGGGAGGAAUCCCUUGAAUUCGAUGGAAUUAAUAAUGGGGGUUUCCUUAAGCCUCUUCAACAGGGAAGAAAGAAAUGACCAUGUGAGGGUUUUGAUGGUUGGUGGUAUUUCAUAGUAAGAGUUCUACAGUAUGACACCACUGGCCUUUUCUUUUUUGGAGUUUAGGUAGCUGACCUUUGUUAAGGUUGGGUGCCCUGUACAAAAAUCCAUUUAGUGCCCAAAAUGUGCUCUACAACAAGAACGAAGAAAACAAAAUAACAAGAAUGGAGACUACAUGCUAAAAAAUUGCCAAUAAUCCCUGUUGUGGAGCUUAAGUCUUGCUCCUUCCCCAACUAAAGCAUCGGCAGCUGCGUUGGCUUCCCUGAAGGUAUGCCUCCAAGUGAUGCGCAUUGUCCUGCAAACAGUGAAAUUUCAUUGAAGAUAUGGUCGUCUCCAAGGGCAUGGUGCAGAGCCAGAAGCCCAGGCGAUGACAUUUCUGGAGUCACCCGUGGCUAUCAAUUCCGAACUCCAGCUAGGAUUAAAAUUCAAAGGCCCGCUAUAAGAAAGCAAGGGCCUCCACAGAUGUAGAGUCCAUAAAUCCGAUAGGGAGGGAGAAAGAGAGGACAGUGCUGUCGAUGUUUCUGAAAAUUCCCCCAGUGCCGGAUGGUCCCGGAUUGCCAAGAGAGCAACCAUCGAAAUUUAGCUUGUUAGGCCACUUUCUGGUGGUCUCCACAGAGAUGCACAUGAGAUCCUUAGGGGUCUCAAGUUCAAGAGGGCCUGCCAAUUGUGAUGGAUAUUGGUAAAGGAGAAAUCUCUGAAAAGCUUGUAAUUUUGGCCCAAAAGGAGACGAGGGUUCUGAUUCUAUCGAUCAAUGUAGGGAUUGUGGCUCUCUCCUCUCUGAAAAUUCUGUUGUUCCUUUCGAGCCAAAUAACCCACAGCGUAGCGGCUAUUGAGGCCCUCCAAAGGAGAUAGCCUGACUUGGGGAAAGGGGUGCUGAGGAAGGCAGAAAAGAGAUGGGGGAUCGAUUGAGGGGUCACACAGGACCAAUUGAACAGAUGGAGUAGGUCGCUCCAUAGGGCUGAAGCAAUUUCACAGUGGAUGCCGAGAUUUGUGUUGGUUUCUUGAGCCUCCAAACACGACACAUCCAUUGGGUAAAGGGAAGCCCCUUCUCUGAAGUUGAUCAACAGUUAAGGCUCUUUCAUGAUGAGCAAUCCAGCGGAAGACUUGGACCUUGGGUGGAAUUAAGAAGAGCCACGCUUUAGCCGCAAUGGAGGGGGGGGCUGCAGGAAGGGUAGGUGGCAGGGUGAUGGUUCGAUAGGAGGACACGGAAAAGGCCCUGACGCAGCCAGUGACCAAACAAUCUUGUCUUCUGCAACAGGGUACAGGAACACAGAGUGGAGGAGAGCUGAGAUCUCCAAAAACUCUUCCAUCUCGUGGUCUGAAAUGGGCCUUCUAAAGUUGGGGUUCCAUGUUCUGGCAGGCCAUGAUCUAACAAAGUUAUCGGCCACUGUUGAUUGGGAAUCUCAGGCUAGGAGGAAGAGAUUUGGGAACUGGUCCCUAAGUGGAGCAUGUCCUACCCAGGUGUCGGACCAGAACAAGACCCGGCUACCCUCGCUCGGAUGAAAGCAUAUCUGUUUUAAGAAGAAGUUGCAGCUAUGGAGAAGGGACCUGAAAAGCCUGCGAUGUUACCACUACCCCUGCAUGUUGGGAGCCAUGCAUGAUCACCAUGGCAGUAUUUGUGACGAAUAACCUCUCUCCAAAGACGAUUGGGUUUCAUGGCAUAACGCCACCACUAUUUCCCCAGAAGCACAGUAUUGUUAAACUUAAGAUGCAAAUGCCCAAACCUCCUUAGAGUUUUCUUUUCGUCUAUUAUGGGUAUUGGGUAUUUUCUCAUGAAAAAUUUCGAAAUUCUCUUGAGAGAUCACUCCAUCUAGUAAUUUCUAGAAGAAGAUUUGUUUGUGCAUGCUAUUAUGGUCAGUA
Molecule: non-coding RNA, 3183 nt
Organism: Amborella trichopoda
Lineage: Eukaryota; Viridiplantae; Streptophyta; Magnoliopsida; Amborellales; Amborellaceae
Source: RefSeq, a predicted model, not a curated record